GACGAACGCUGGCGGCGUGCUUAACACAUGCAAGUCGAACGAUGACGACCGAGCUUGCUCGGUCUGAUUAGUGGCGAACGGGUGAGUAACACGUGAGCAACCUGCCCUUCACUCUGGGAUAACCUCGGGAAAUCGGGGCUAAUACCGGAUAUGAGCUCCUGUCGCAUGGCGGGUGUUGGAAAGUUUUUCGGUGAAGGAUGGGCUCGCGGCCUAUCAGUUUGUUGGUGAGGUAGUGGCUCACCAAGGCGAUGACGGGUAGCCGGCCUGAGAGGGCGACCGGCCACGCUGGGACUGAGACACGGCCCAGACUCCUACGGGAGGCAGCAGUGGGGAAUAUUGCACAAUGGGCGAAAGCCUGAUGCAGCGACGCCGCGUGAGGGAUGACGGCCUUCGGGUUGUAAACCUCUUUCAGCAGGGAAGAAGCGAAAGUGACGGUACCUGCAGAAGAAGCGCCGGCUAACUACGUG
Molecule: ribosomal RNA, 467 nt
Filed under: uncultured bacterium
Lineage: Bacteria
Description: partial 16S ribosomal RNA
Rfam family: Bacterial small subunit ribosomal RNA
Source: RNAcentral